This is a long non-coding RNA of Puma concolor (puma), 762 nucleotides long. RefSeq lists it as uncharacterized. NCBI's taxonomy places the organism in Eukaryota, Metazoa, Chordata, Mammalia, Carnivora, Felidae. The record is from RefSeq and is a predicted model, not a curated record.
GCAUUGACGCCACAAGCUCCGGCGCACGGCGCCCCAGGCCCCGCCCCGCGCGAGCCCGCCCCUGCUGCCGCCAUUGGGCGGGCCGUGUGCUGACUUUGGAACGCCGACCAACCCGAAGAUGUGAUUGGACAGAUCUGUCAACAUUCAUAGCGAGAACCAUUCCGUAAGAUUGGUUGAACGCCUGUUUGUCAGACCUUGUAGUGGCUGCUCAGGGCCUCCUGCCUUUUAAUUCUCCAAGUACACCUAAGCUUUAGGCAUUAUACCAGGCACGCACUCACAGGAAGCCUGGUCAAUGGAGGGUCCAGGAAAGAAUGAGAGAUCCUGGAGAACAGAAGUGCUGCAGGGUUAGCAGUAGGGGGGAGGAGGAGAACGUAAAGGAUGGGUGGCUUUUCUCGUGGAAGUGCUAGAGGUAGAGGGGAAAAGUAGGAUCUGUGGAAUGGUGAUGGCGAGGAAAGAUUCUUGCUCAGUGUUUUGAUGUGAAAAGAACUAAUCAGUGUGUUUUAGAGCCCAAUUUAUCUUUCAUCCCCUAGAGCCUAUAGGUUUGGAUGGUUCAGAAUUCCCUUAGGUAGUUCUGUCUCCCUGCUACUGAAAUAUAACUGCACGACAGCAAGAGAAUGGUUAUCUUUGCCUCUAAGCCCUCUAAGCACAAAAGAAGCAGUGAGAUUAGGCAAUGGUAGUAUGGUAGGUUUGUAUCUUGGCUUCCUCUCCCUAGCUCGGUGAUUUGGGACGGGGUAUGUUACUUCUUGUGCCCUUCCUCUUACU